Molecule: long non-coding RNA, 571 nt
Organism: Gossypium arboreum
Lineage: Eukaryota; Viridiplantae; Streptophyta; Magnoliopsida; Malvales; Malvaceae
Exons: 2
Source: RefSeq, a predicted model, not a curated record
CAACUUGGAGGAGCUAUUUGUAUCAGAAAACCAACUAUCAGGCCCUAUUCCUUAAUCUUUGAGUUCAUUGAGAGGGCUUAAGGCAUUAGACCUAUCCAAAAAUUAUCUUUCAGACAUGGCUAAGGGACAAUUCAGAUCCUUACAAGUACGCAAGUCAAACAACAUGUUAUGCAAUAUAUGUGACGAGAAGUCUUUCGAUCUCUUUAACGGGUUAAAAUCCCACCUCAAGUCUGAGAACCCAAGUGGUGCCAUUUGUCAUACCUAUAUGUUUAUCUUCCACACAAAAGCAGAACUCGGCCUACAUGUAAAUUCUGAAAUCUGCGUGUAGAAGUCUAAAACGAGCCGUCGUUAAUGUAAAAAGUAAAAGAGUUCUCGAGUUUAAUUUUUUCAAUUUUGGGCAAUAGGAAUAAAGGAUGUUCUAGAUUUUUUUAGUAGUUAACAGAAAACAUGAUAUUUUUUUAACACUAAUCUCAUUGUAGCUUCUUAUUAUAUCUAUAGUUUUUGAUACAAUAUCUAAAAUUACCCGUAGCCCCUUCCUACCCAUUAAAUAAGAGAAUAUUGAGCUUCAAUA